UGUAACUUCUAUUGAUAAAGGUCAGAAAUCAACAAAAGAGGACUCUGAUGCUCCGAAACCUCUUGCUCGAGCUAUCUUCAUUUUGUUGUGAGCUACCUUUUCUUUUACUAUUAUCACCAUUUAGUUAUUUUGUUUGGAAGGUUAGUGAUGACUUGGUGCUUACUCUGUUAUAGUUUUGAAUGUUUUGUUGCUUUGUGUAUGAUUAGCAAAACCAAAAUUGUUUGACUUUGAUCUGGGCCUAAUUUCAGAACCCAUGCCAUUUCUACAAUUCUUACUAUAAUUUUUGUGGUGUUUUUUCUCUGUAGACUUUAUGCCUACAAGCUUGUAAAGGAUGCAGUCCAUUUUAGCGGGCCGGUUUUUAUAUAGUUCAUAGGAAUAUCAAUGUUUAUCUUCACUGGAAUAUAUAGUACCAAAUAUUGCAAUUUUGAGCAUCUUAUCUUUACCAAGAUGCAUGUUCUAUGACCAUAACUGGGCUAUGGACAGAAUUAGCCAAGCAAAAUACUCCCUCCAUUUGUUUGAUAACCAAUUCAGGGAAGUUGAUUUGUAAAAAUCAGGUCUGUUUAGGACAUUGAAUGAGACAUUUGUAAAGAACUAGCUAUAACACAUGCCUUUUUUUCUUUUUGUCAACAUAUAGCACUUGUCUUAUGAUAUUAUAGAUUCGAUUAGUUUGGCUAGACUCCUCUAAACACAUGGUCUUUUUUUGUUUUCUCUAGAAAUACUCCCUAAUUAGUUUGUCAAUGUCUAGUUAUUUAUUUUAAAAGCACUAAUUACUUUAAAUAAUGUAAGUUUGUGAAGCCUAGUACAGUGAGUUUGGUUUGUGAUUUUGGUGAUUGUAUACCAUUUUCCGGAAAGUAGAGUGACAUUUGAGUCUUUAUUUGUUCUUUGAAAUUGUUGCAGAUUUCAGAGGCCCUAGAGCCAUAACUUCUUUGAUGCUGGGAUUGGAGUCUCUGAUAGGAGACUAGGAUCAUUUCUGUCAUGAAGAUUACAACUAAAGAAAAGCCAAUCUUAAUUAUGUUGUUGUUACGUUGACUGUUCAUUUUUCUAUCUGUAAACAGUUAUUUUUCCUCAUAGGUAUCAGAUAUUGGAUUCUCCCAGACAUUUCUUUGUAGAAGAAAAAUAAUUUGGAGUUCUCACAAUACCCUCAAUCUGCAGCUUUGGGUAAUGAGAAGGCAAACAAUUAUUGGGAAAAAGGUUGCCACCAAAUGCAGACAGAAGUGCGAUUGAGAAGUUUAUUCGUGUCAAGUAAUUACUAGAUGAAGAAUGACUCUGAUCUUUAUGAGGAACUUGGAUAGUUAGUUAAUACAUAUAUCUAUGAGCUAUUAGAAUGAUUUUUUGUGUUUUAAUGUAUGGAUGAUUGGAAAAUACAUCCUUUAUUAGAACUUUGAUUCUUUAAUGUAUGAAUUGGAGUACUUCAA
Molecule: long non-coding RNA, 1415 nt
Organism: Rosa chinensis
Lineage: Eukaryota; Viridiplantae; Streptophyta; Magnoliopsida; Rosales; Rosaceae
Exons: 2
Source: RefSeq, a predicted model, not a curated record